Molecule: small nuclear RNA, 151 nt
Filed under: Arabidopsis thaliana x Arabidopsis arenosa
Lineage: Eukaryota; Viridiplantae; Streptophyta; Magnoliopsida; Brassicales; Brassicaceae
Description: U4
Rfam family: U4 spliceosomal RNA
About the family: U4 small nuclear RNA (U4 snRNA) is a component of the major U2-dependent spliceosome.
Source: RNAcentral
GUCUUUGCGCUUGGGGCAAUGACGCAGCUAAUGAGGUUCUAACCGAGGCGCGUCUAUUGCUUGUUGAAAACUAUUUCCAAACCCCCUCCUAGGCCUAAGCUUGUCUUGGGCCUUCGAGAAUUUCUGGAAGGGCUCCCUUCGGGGUAAAGCC